This 253-nucleotide ribosomal RNA is filed under the name uncultured bacterium. RNAcentral's name for it is "partial 16S ribosomal RNA". It matches the Rfam family "Bacterial small subunit ribosomal RNA", at positions 524 to 776 of the family's 1533-position model. The record is from RNAcentral.
UACGUAGGUGACAAGCGUUGUCCGGAUUUACUGGGCGUAAAGAGCGCGCAGGCGGUCGUUCAAGUCGAGUGUGAAAGCCCCCGGCUCAACCGGGGAACUGCGUCUGAGACUGGAAGGCUUGAAUUCGGGAGAGGGAUGUGGAAUUCCAGGUGUAGCGGUGAAAUGCGUAGAUAUCUGGAGGAACACCGGUGGCGAAGGCGGCAUCCUGGACCGAGAUUGACGCUGAUGCGCGAAAGCCAGGGGAGCAAACGGG